RNAcentral lists this ribosomal RNA (150 nucleotides) under Clostridioides difficile. Its description in RNAcentral is "partial 16S ribosomal RNA". It matches the Rfam family "Bacterial small subunit ribosomal RNA", at positions 1 to 157 of the family's 1533-position model. Lineage: Bacteria; Bacillati; Bacillota; Clostridia; Peptostreptococcales; Peptostreptococcaceae. The record is from RNAcentral.
UUUUAUUUGAGAGUUUGAUCCUGGCUCAGGAUGAACGCUGGCGGCGUGCCUAACACAUGCAAGUUGAGCGAUUUACUUCGGUAAAGAGCGGCGGACGGGUGAGUAACGCGUGGGUAACCUACCCUGUACACACGGAUAACAUACCGAAAG